GAAUGCAGUCGAACGCGAAGUCCCCUUCGGGGGACAAGUAGAGUGGCGCACGGGUGAGUAACACGUAGGUAAUCUACCUUCGGAUGGGGAAUAACAACCGGAAACGGUUGCUAAUACCGCAUAAUGCAGCGGCACCUAAUGGUGACAGUUGUUAAAGCGGGGGAUCGAAAGACCCCGCGUCUGAAGAGGAGCCUGCGGCGGAUUAGCUAGUUGGUAAGGUAAUGGCUUACCAAGGCAACGAUCCGUAACCGGCCUGAGAGGGCGGUCGGUCACACUGACACUGACAUACGGGCCAGACUCCUACGGGAGGCAGCAGUCGGGAAUUUUGGGCAAUGGGCGAAAGCCUGACCCAGCAACGCCGCGUGAAGGAUGAAAUCCCUCGGGAUGUAAACUUCGCAAGAACGGGAAGAAUAAGUAGGGGACAACACCCCCUAUGAUGACGGUACCGUUUGUAAGCUCCGGCUAACUCCGUGCCAGCAGCCGCGGUAAUACGGGGGGAGCAAGCGUUGUUCGGAUUUACUGGGCGUAAAGGGCGCGUAGGCGGCCUCCGCAAGUCAGUUGUGAAAUCUCCGAGCUUAACUCGGAAAGGUCAACUGAUACUGCGGGGCUAGAGUGCGGGACGGGCAACUGGAAAUUCUUGGUGUAGCGGUGAAAUGCGUAGAUAUCAAGAGGAACACCUGCGGCGAAGCGGGUUUGCUGGGCCGACACUGACG
Molecule: ribosomal RNA, 713 nt
Filed under: uncultured bacterium
Lineage: Bacteria
Description: bacterial SSU rRNA
Rfam family: Bacterial small subunit ribosomal RNA
Source: RNAcentral